Molecule: long non-coding RNA, 1571 nt
Filed under: Arabidopsis lyrata
Lineage: Eukaryota; Viridiplantae; Streptophyta; Magnoliopsida; Brassicales; Brassicaceae
Description: long non-coding RNA (ALYR_LNC001444)
Source: RNAcentral
CUCCUGAGCCAGUUAAGAAGUGAAUCCCAGAGAACCAUCUCCAAAGAUUUGAUAUUUCCGCAGAUUUAACACUCAAUUCUGGAUUUGGAGAUUCAAAAUCGAAAUAACCGUAGACCUAGUUCGAUUAUUGUUGCUUAAUGGGGUAAAUGAGAGAAGCAGAGAGAAGAGAAAUAUGGAAGAAUCUGAGAAGAUUUGAUCAGAGAACAAUGAGAGAAGCAAAGAGUCGACAAAAAAACUCGUAACCCAUUGGAGAUGGUCUUAGAGCAUCAGCAGUGGUAUAUCCGAACAUGGGGUAUGAGUAAUUUAAAAUUGAGAAAUAAUCAGAAUAGUCCACUUUUAUGUACAUCCGAGUGUUAAGUUACAAUCGGUUGCAAGGGUUACGUGGCGAACAAAACUUGGGUUCACCCCUAGAGUGAACCUCUUUAUUCACCUCUUCUUUUUUUAACCAAUAAGAAUAUGACAUGUCAUAUUAUAUAUAAAUAAAAUAAACAAAUAAAUUUAAAAUCAGGAAAAAAAAAGAAAUGAAACAAAAUCUAUAUUUACUUAACGUCAACGUUGACGUUACAAACAUCUUUUUUAAUACAAUUUAUUUUAUGAACAAUUUUGGGUUUUUAUUCACCUUAAGUUUCUAACCAAUCAUAAUAUGUCAUUUAAAAUAAAAAAUUAAACUCAUUUAUUUAUAAAAUCUAAACCCUAACUCUUCUUUUAUAAACCUAAACCGACAUAUAAUCACGUCUAAUUAUAAAAUCUAAACCCUAAUCAUCCUUUAUAAACCCAAACCGACAUAUAAUCACGUCUAAUUACAAAAUCUAAACCCUAAUCCUCCUUUAUAAACCCAAACCGAUAUUUACCUCGUUUAAUUAUAAAAUCUAAACCCUAACCGUUCUUUAUAAACCCAAACCGAUAUUUAACCUCGUUUAAUUAUAAUAUUUAGACCCUAACCGUUUUGUAUAAACCCAAACCGAUAUUUAAACUUGUUUAAUUGUAACAUCUAAAUGCGUUUAUAAACCUAAACCAAUAUUUGAUUUUGUUUAAUCAAAAAAUAUAUAUCCUAACUCUUUUUUAUAAACCCGAACUGAUAUAUAACUGCGUUUUGGUAGCAGACUAAAUUUUACAAAUAAUUAAAUAAAAUAUAAGUAUUUUAAUUGGUUAGAAAAAGAGAUAAAUAAAAAGAAUCAUCUCUAAUAAUAAACCCAAAUAAUUUUUUUAUUUUAUACAAAAAUAUACAUCCAACUUUAAUCUAUAUCUCUCUAUAAAAUAAAUUAUAUUAAAAAGGUACCUAACGUCAAAAUAAGACGCCAACAUUGACGUUAGUUUAUGUAAAAAUUUUGUUUCCUUGUUUUUCUGAUUUUAGAUUUAGUUUAUUAUUUUAUUUAAAUAUAAUAUGACAUGUCAUAAUUUCAUUGGUUAAAAAAGGAGGAGGUGAAUAAGGGUGAACCCAAAUAUUUUCCUUACGUGGCCUUUUUCUCUCUCUCUUUUUCUUUCUCUCUUUUUUCUCUUUUGCUUUAAAUGAUAAUAAUAAAAAAAUUGUUACACCCAUACAAGCUCUUACUAGACUAAAUUCUACAGUA